GUCUAUGGCCAUGCCACCCUGAACAAGCCUGAUGUCUGAUCUCAGGAGCUAAGCAGGGUCGGGCCUGGUUAGUACUUGGAUGGGAGACCACCUAGGAAGACCAGGUACGUAGGCA
This 115-nucleotide ribosomal RNA is filed under the name Pteropus alecto (black flying fox). The record is from RNAcentral. Lineage: Eukaryota; Metazoa; Chordata; Mammalia; Chiroptera; Pteropodidae.